CUUCUCUGAGGAUGACCUGCACUGGGCUCUGAGUCUGCAUGGAGACAGAUGUGCCUCUUUGGCCCUGACAAGCCAAAGUUUCUGAGGAGAAA
Nothobranchius furzeri (turquoise killifish) is the source of this 92-nucleotide small nucleolar RNA. The record is from Ensembl. Lineage: Eukaryota; Metazoa; Chordata; Actinopteri; Cyprinodontiformes; Nothobranchiidae.